AGUGAGGAAUAUUGGUCAAUGGACGAAAGUCUGAACCAGCCAAGUAGCGUGCAGGAUGACGGCCCUAUGGGUUGUAAACUGCUUUUGUAUGGGGAUAAAGUUAGGGACGUGUCCCUAUUUGCAGGUACCAUACGAAUAAGGACCGGCUAAUUCCGUGCCAGCAGCCGCGGUAAUACGGAAGGUCCGGGCGUUAUCCGGAUUUAUUGGGUUUAAAGGGAGCGUAGGCUGGAGAUUAAGUGUGUUGUGAAAUGUAGACGCUCAACGUCUGACUUGCAGCGCAUACUGGUUUCCUUGAGUACGCACAACGUUGGCGGAAUUCGUCGUGUAGCGGUGAAAUGCUUAGAUAUGACGAAGAACUCCGAUUGCGAAGGCAGCUGACGGGAGCGCAACUGACGCUUAAGCUCGAAGGUGCGGGUAUCAAACAGGAUUA
RNAcentral lists this ribosomal RNA (430 nucleotides) under Klebsiella pneumoniae. RNAcentral describes it as "bacterial SSU rRNA". It matches the Rfam family "Bacterial small subunit ribosomal RNA", at positions 353 to 780 of the family's 1533-position model. The record is from RNAcentral. Lineage: Bacteria; Pseudomonadati; Pseudomonadota; Gammaproteobacteria; Enterobacterales; Enterobacteriaceae.